This 493-nucleotide ribosomal RNA is filed under the name uncultured bacterium. RNAcentral's name for it is "partial 16S ribosomal RNA". It matches the Rfam family "Bacterial small subunit ribosomal RNA", at positions 30 to 523 of the family's 1533-position model. The record is from RNAcentral.
AUUGAACGCUGGCGGCAUGCCUUACACAUGCAAGUCGAACGGUAACAGGUUAAGCUGACGAGUGGCGAACGGGUGAGUAAUGUAUCGGAACGUGCCCAGUCGUGGGGGAUAACUGCUCGAAAGAGCAGCUAAUACCGCAUACGAUCUACGGAUGAAAGCGGGGGAUCGCAAGACCUCGCGCGAUUGGAGCGGCCGAUAUCUGAUUAGCUAGUUGGUGGGGUAAAAGCCCACCAAGGCGACGAUCAGUAGCUGGUCUGAGAGGACGACCAGCCACACUGGGACUGGGAAACGGCCCAGACUCCUACGGGAGGCAGCAGUGGGGAAUUUUGGACAAUGGGGGCAACCCUGAUCCAGCCAUGCCGCGUGCAGGAAGAAGGCCUUCGGGUUGUAAACUGCUUUUGUCAGGGAAGAAAUCCUUUGGGCUAAUACCCUGAGGGGAUGACGGUACCUGAAGAAUAAGCACCGGCUAACUACGUGCCAGCAGCCGCCGUAA